This 277-nucleotide ribosomal RNA is filed under the name uncultured bacterium. RNAcentral's name for it is "partial 16S ribosomal RNA". It matches the Rfam family "Bacterial small subunit ribosomal RNA", at positions 793 to 1055 of the family's 1533-position model. The record is from RNAcentral.
GUCCAUGCCAUAAACGAUGAUAACUAGGCGUGGGGGUCGUUGACGACUUCCGUGCCACAGCUAACGCGUUAAGUUAUCCGCCUGGGAAGUACGGUCGCAAGAUUAAAACUCAAAGAAAUUGACGGGGGCCCCGCACAAGCGGUGGAUUAUGUGGUUUAAUUCGAAGCAACGCGCAUAACCUUACCCGGGUUUGACAUCCCAAGAAAAGUCAUAGAGAUAUGACCUUUCAUUAGAGUAAAAUCUAGUGGCUUGGAGACAGGUGCUGCAUGGCUGUCGU